Molecule: ribosomal RNA, 400 nt
Filed under: uncultured bacterium
Lineage: Bacteria
Description: partial 16S ribosomal RNA
Rfam family: Bacterial small subunit ribosomal RNA
Source: RNAcentral
AAUAUUGCGCAAUGGAGGAAACUCUGACGCAGCGACGCCGCGUGAGCGAUGAAGGUCUUCGGAUCGUAAAGCUCUGUCCUCAGGGAAGAAGAAAGUGACGGUACCUGAGGAGAAAGCCACGGCUAACUACGUGCCAGCAGCCGCGGUAAUACGUAGGGGGCGAGCGUUGUCCGGAAUUACUGGGCGUAAAGGGUGCGUAGGCGGCCUCAGAAGUCAGGUGUGAAAUACCGUGGCUUAACCACGGGGGUGCAUUUGAAACUUUGAGGCUUGAGUGCAGGAGAGGAAAGUGGAAUUCCACGUGUAGCGGUGAAAUGCGUAGAGAUGUGGAGGAACACCAGUGGCGAAGGCGGCUUUCUGGUCUGUAACUGACGCUGAGGCGCGAAAGCGUGGGGAGCAAACA